CCAGGCUGUUGUUGUUCUCAACGUG
This 25-nucleotide microRNA is filed under the name Eptesicus fuscus (big brown bat). RNAcentral describes it as "efu-miR-9331". The record is from miRBase by way of RNAcentral. Lineage: Eukaryota; Metazoa; Chordata; Mammalia; Chiroptera; Vespertilionidae.